RNAcentral lists this unclassified non-coding RNA (362 nucleotides) under uncultured Chloroflexota bacterium. Its description in RNAcentral is "uncultured Chloroflexi bacterium contains 16S-23S intergenic spacer region". The record is from RNAcentral. Lineage: Bacteria; Bacillati; Chloroflexota.
UCCGGGUUAGUCCCGGCGGUCCCGCCAGACGUUGUAACUGACGGCAGGGGUUGCGCUCGUUGCGGGACUUAACCCAACACCUCACGGCACGAGCUGACGACAGCCGUGCAGCACCUGCACAGGCUCCCUUGCGGGUCCCUUGGCUUUCGCUUCGGUACCACCUGCAUGUCAAGUCCGGGUAAGGUUCUUCGCGUUGCAUCGAAUUAAACCACACGCUCCGCUGCUUGUGCGGGCCCCCGCCAAUUCCUUUGAGUUUUAGCCUUGCGGCCGUAGUCCCCAGGCGGGGUGCUUAUUGCGUUAGCUGCGCCACUGAGAAGUAAACUUCCCAACGGCUAGCUCUCAUAGUUUACGGCGUGGACUAC